Molecule: ribosomal RNA, 460 nt
Filed under: uncultured bacterium
Lineage: Bacteria
Description: partial 16S ribosomal RNA
Rfam family: Bacterial small subunit ribosomal RNA
Source: RNAcentral
CCUACGGGAGGCAGCAGUGAGGAAUAUUGGUCAAUGGACGCAAGUCUGAACCAGCCAUGCCGCGUGCAGGAAGACGGCUCUAUGAGUUGUAAACUGCUUUUGUACGAGGGUAAACGCAGAUACGCGUCUCUGUUUGAAAGUAUCGUACGAAUAAGGAUCGGCUAACUCCGUGCCAGCAGCCGCGGUAAUACGGAGGAUUCAAGCGUUAUCCGGAUUUAUUGGGUUUAAAGGGUGCGUAGGCGGUCGGUUAAGUUAGAGGUGAAAUCCCGGGGCUCAACCUCGGAAUUGCCGUUGAUACUGUUCGGCUAGAGAGUAGGUGCGGUAGGCGGAAUGUAUGGUGUAGCGGUGAAAUGCUUAGAGAUCAUACAGAACACCGAUUGCGAAGGCAGCUUACCAAGCUACUUCUGACGUUGAGGCACGAAAGCGUGGGGAGCAAACAGGAUUAGAUACCCGAGUAGUC